Molecule: ribosomal RNA, 244 nt
Filed under: Klebsiella quasipneumoniae
Lineage: Bacteria; Pseudomonadati; Pseudomonadota; Gammaproteobacteria; Enterobacterales; Enterobacteriaceae
Description: partial 23S ribosomal RNA
Rfam family: Bacterial large subunit ribosomal RNA
Source: RNAcentral
CCCCAGUAGCGGCGAGCGAACGGGGAGCAGCCCAGAGUCUGAAUCAGCUUGUGUGUUAGUGGAACGGUCUGGAAAGUCCGACGGUACAGGGUGAUAGUCCCGUACACCAAAAUGCACAGGUUGUGAACUCGAAGAGUAGGGCGGGACACGUGGUAUCCUGUCUGAAUAUGGGGGGACCAUCCUCCAAGGCUAAAUACUCCUGACUGACCGAUAGUGAACCAGUACCGUGAGGGAAAGGCGAAAA